UACGGGGGGGGCAAGCGUUGUUCGGAAUUACUGGGCGUAAAGGGCUCGUAGGCGGCCAACUAAGUCAGACGUGAAAUCCCUCGGCUUAACCGGGGAACUGCGUCUGAUACUGGAUGGCUUGAGAUUGGGAGAGGGAUGCGGAAUUCCAGGUGUAGCGGUGAAAUGCGUAGAUAUCUGGAGGAACACCGGUGGCGAAGGCGACAUCCUGGACCAACACUGACGCUGAGGAGCGAAAGCCAGGGGAGCAAGCGGG
Molecule: ribosomal RNA, 253 nt
Filed under: uncultured bacterium
Lineage: Bacteria
Description: partial 16S ribosomal RNA
Rfam family: Bacterial small subunit ribosomal RNA
Source: RNAcentral